This 254-nucleotide ribosomal RNA is filed under the name uncultured bacterium. RNAcentral describes it as "partial 16S ribosomal RNA". It matches the Rfam family "Bacterial small subunit ribosomal RNA", at positions 524 to 776 of the family's 1533-position model. The record is from RNAcentral.
UACGGGGGGAGCAAGCGUUGUUCGGAUUUACUGGGCGUAAAGGGCGCGUAGGCGGCCACCGCAAGUCGACUGUGAAAUCUCCGGGCUUAACCCGGAAAGGUCAGCCGAUACUGCGGGGCUAGAGUGCAGAAGGGGCAACUGGAAUUCUCGGUGUAGCGGUGAAAUGCGUAGAUAUCGAGAGGAACACCUGCGGCGAAGGCGGGUUGCUGGGCUGACACUGACGCUGAGGCGCGAAGGCGUGGGGAGCGAACAGG